Long non-coding RNA from Serinus canaria (Common canary), 6615 nucleotides. RefSeq lists it as uncharacterized. NCBI's taxonomy places the organism in Eukaryota, Metazoa, Chordata, Aves, Passeriformes, Fringillidae. The transcript has 3 exons. The record is from RefSeq and is a predicted model, not a curated record.
CUCUGUGUGAUGCAGACAGGUAGGGGACCGAGGGUGGCACUGGGGGAGGAGGUGUGAGAGCAGAGCACUGUUCCGUUCAGGGUCUCUGCUCCAGGAGCAACUUCACUGUCUGCAGGGACAGCAGAGAGGGCAGGAGACCCAAGCCACAACAUCCAGGGAAUCCAAUGUCAGUGGCAGGUGCCAAGGAAGGCAUGGUUGGAAACCAAGCCAGGCCUGUCACACACACAGAGGGCUGAGAAGGUUGAUCCCAGCAAGGUUCUGUGCUCUGGAGCUGCUCAGCUGGGAACCUGCAGGACAAGAGGGGAACGGGCCCAAAUUCUGCCAAGCCCAGCCCUGGCCAAGCAGACCCAGAGCCAGUGACAGGAGCCAGAGCUGGGUCAUGUGAGCCUGUGCUGCAUGGGCUGAGGGCCAGGGACUGGGGACACCUGGGCUGGGAGGGAAUUUGGACUGGCUCCUGGAGCCAGACUGAGAGUGGAGGUGCUCCUGGCCAUUCUGUCACCUCCUGGGCUGCAUGGGAAUGUCCCAGUGCAGCUACUGGAGUGAGUGAGGGUUCCCAGUGCCAUAGCUGAGAGAAGUGGAGAGGACCCAGUGCAGCAAGGAGGGGCGGCCUCAGGCCUGGGCUGGGGUAUCAGGAGGGUGCAGGGUCCCUCACCUGCUGCCUUCACCUGUGCCAGCUGUCCCAACUCCCUCUCCAGUACAGCCAGAAGUUCUCUGCAGUUUUCCCUGUCUCUGCCAGGACCCUCAAACAAAGUCUCCCUCAGUGGUAUUGACUGGCACCUCCUUCCUUGCAGGCCCUGCUUUAGGGAGGAGCACAAACAGAUUAAAGGUCUUUUCCAACCUAAACAAUCCUUGGAUGCGGUGCCUUCCAGUGACACUGGGAUGCAGCACCUCUCCCAGGCUGCACCAGGUGUGACUAAGGGUGAGGUGACCCUGUGGAACACCCCAGAACAUUUCAAUGUAAGGGGCUAAACUGAGGUUCCUUUCCUACACUUGGCACACAGAAGAAAUACUAAGUAGAUAUUCUUAAGAGGUCAAAAUUGCACAGAAUUUGGUGGCAAAAGAUAGAAAAUCAAUGAAUUUGAUCAAUCUUUUCCAAUCUGUGACACCCUGCCUGGGUCCUGAGGAGAUCGGAUGGUGUUGGGGUAUGACUGGGAAACAGAGCAGGAACUCUCCAGUGGGGUCUCUCUGCUGCACACACUGGAAGGACGGGGUUGGCAAAGGAUGGGGACAUGGCUGGGGUGCCUGGCUGGGAGGAGCUAGGACGGGGAUGGAAGGGUAGGUGGGGACGUCUGAGAAGAGCAAUUUUGAUCUUAAUUUCCCUUCCUCCCCUUGUUCUCCCUCCCUCCCUCCCCAGAGAAGCUGUUGCUGCCCUAUCCCUGGCAGUGUCCAAGGCCAGGCUGGACAGGACUUGGAGCACCCUGGGACACUGGAAGGUGUCCCUGCCCAUGGCAGGAGGUGGCACUGGAUGGGCUUUAGGGUCUCUUGCCAUAUGGAAUCCAUGAGGACUAAGGGAGAUGAGCAUAGUACAGGGAUACCUUUUAUCUCUUUCUGGUACUUAAAGGAAAACCAAGAAAGACUUAGCAGGGCUGGAGUGCCAGGACACAGGGAAUUGCUCCACGCUGACCCAGGCCAGGCCUGGAUGUGUAUUUGGGAUCUCUUUUCCCACUUUUCUGGCUCCUCUUACGUGUGGAGCCCUCCGGGCCGUCAGGUGUUGCCAUCAUGGUGGGGCAGAGUGCAGUGAUGUCACUGCCACGCCGGGUGAGCCAAAGCAGUGGUGGCAGCACCGGGAGCAGUGGGAAUGGCCCCAGGAACAGUGGGAACAGUGGGAACAGCGGCACCGGGAGCGCCGGUAGCACUGUGAACGGCAGCAGCGGCAACAGCAGGAGCGCCAGCAUGGAGUACGUGAACCCAGAGCAGCUCGCCGGCUUCAGCAAGUACAAGGAUUUUUCCCUCCUGAGAAGCUGAGAGGCCUCAAGAACAAACUGUAAACAAUUCUUAUCUGCUGCUGUGGAACGCACCAGACCAGGGUGAGCCCCUGGGUCCCUGGAGAGAGAAAGCUGGACCCUGAAUGUGUGCAUGUCUGGGACCUGAUCAUCUCACCGCAUGGCUGAAUUAAAUGUCUGUGGAUACUGUGUGAAGGUCCAUUUUGCUUCCUUACCCUGGACUAUGCUAGCAGCAAUUCAGCCUGCUACAAAUGGCGCUCGAACAGGGACCUCUUCUCCUGGAAAACAUCUGCGCUAGACCACCCUGAGAAUUUCAUUGUCUUACCCUAGAGUGGUGAGUUUGAAUUUUUAGUUCCUUUCUCCUUUUACUCUCAGCUGUUGGGAAGAGACUGGGUUAAGAUGGAAACAAUGCUCACCCACACAGAACAAGAAGUUUACCUCCACCUUAAAAAGCCUUUUCUUCAAGAAGAUUUUGGGUUUCCAAAGGGGAAAUUGAAGCCUUUUGUACACUGGUUAUUUAAGCAUUUUCCUUAUAUUUCAUGGAAUGUAGUCCUAACCAAGGACAUUCUGGAAGUAGUUUGGGAAAAAUUAAGACCUGAGGAAGAACUCCAUAAAGAAUUCAUCCUUUUUUUAAUAUGAUGAUGAUAUGCAUUCAGAAUCUUGAGGAACAGUUAAAAAAUAGUGAACCCCAGCUGAAAACCUUCUCCAAGCUCUCCUGUCUUUACUCCUACUGCCCAGGUUUGCUGUCAUUACAUGGCCAUGGCCAUAUGGUCACAUUCACAUGCUCAAGAUGGUGGAGACAGCAUGGCAUGAGCCACGGGCUCUCCCCUUCUACCCUCUGGUCCCCACGCCUCCUCCCACAGCUUCCACAGUCCUAAGAGUGAGAGAAGGGGAUUCAGAGGAGCAGCCUCUGAUUAGCAAUAUAAAGCUGCAUCACCUUCUUACAGCAAAGGGGAAAGAAACCCCUCGAGCACUUGCAGUGCUGGAAAGGACAAAAGAAUGGAAGUAUUUACCUUGGUUGCUAUAGCACCACAGGACACAGCAUGGGUGGCAAGAGCCAUCCCCACUCGCAUCAAACAGCUGCCUCCAUGGAAAACCCACGGGUGAGCACAAGUAGUGGCAGCCCACAGCACUGGAGGUGAGGACAGGCAGGCAAGACCAGUGGGCGGGCAGUCCUGCUGGGGGAUGGCUCAGAAUUGCAGUCCUGGCAGCGAAACCACUGUCCCCCACCCACCUGCAGGGCCUGCGCCACCACCACUGCUCUCAAAGCCCCGCGCUGGCAGUGCCUGCGGGCCUCAGCUGAGAGAGACCCCCGAGAAAAAUCCAGGUCUCAGUGCAGCUGACAGUGCCAGGAGCAGGACGAACCCUGCACAGCAGCACACCAACCUCAACACCAACAGCACGUCCAGCAACACAAACACAAAACCACUGGCAAAGGUAAAAAAGUCCUUGCUGUGAACGUUCUGGGGACAGUGAAAUGGUUCAAUGUAAAAAACAAAUAUGGCUUCAUAAUCCAGAAUGAUAUCAAAGAAGAUGUGUUUGUUCAUCAGACUGCUAUAAAAAAAAAUAAGCCCAGGAAAUACCUCCACAGACUAGGAGAUGGAGAAAUUGAGAAAUUUUAAUACAAUACAACAAAAAAAAGGCCCCCAAACAGCCGAUGUGACAGGACCCUGGUGGAGUUCCAGUGCAAGGUAAUAAACGUACCAAACUGCAAACCUGCAAAAUAUUACCCACAUCAUAGAAGUCCUCCAAGGAAAUAAAACCCAAAACCAACAACCAAGCCCCAGCAACAGCCUAAAAGCUGAAAGAGCACAGAACACCAAUGAGCUGUCCUUCAUCCAAGAGUCCACCUCCAUAAUGAAAGAACCUUCCAAUCUGAUAAGUCCCACUUCUAAUAUCCUUCCCCAAUUCCUGUGGCCUCUCUGCCCCCCCCUCCCACUUUCUCCUUUGCCUUUCCAUUGUCCUAUUACCCCUUUUUUAUGUUCUCACAAAUUCCUACCACUUUUUCCUCUUUCCAUGGCCUCCCUCUACUAAUCCCUUCCCUCUGAGUUCCUUCAUAAUACCAGAAGGAUGGUGACUGGGAGGGAAAAAAGGAAAGUUUCCCUAAAGUAACCAUCUUUUUCUUGAAGUUAAUGAUUUCUAUUUGGAGUUUCCAGCAGACACAUCACCACUUACACUACCUUGUAGAGAGCCCAUUAUAGCCAAAGGCAUUGCCACAAGUGGCAGAUAACCAGUCCCUGCUAGAGCAACUUCUCCUGACUCAGUUUCCUGAUAAACUGUGCUAAGAAAACCCCUCAUCCCUCCUGCCAGCUCUAAGACACUCCAGGAAAUCUGUUGAGGCAUUGGGAACUCAGAAUUGUUUGCAUUUUGAAAAACUAUUUUAUGGGUGUUUGUCCUAGGGUGAUGUUAGGAUGCUGUUAUCCCCAUUCGUGUGUGUGUGUGUAAUUUAUGCUGGAUAUUAUGUUCUGUGCCUUUAAGACUGGCAGAGUGAAAGUUUUGGGUUGGGCCUCUUAUCAGCCACUCGGCAAGACAUACAGAUAGCACCAGUACUUAGUGUUGCUUUUUUGCUUUUUGCCCUGCUUGUGGCUUUCGCUCUUGCUUCUGCUUCACUUCUGCUUUGCUUGCUCUUGCUUUUCCCCCCCUUCUCAUUAGUUAAUUUAGCUAAACAGUCCAAAUUUCUUUCUGGACUGUCCCGUUCUCCUCUCCCCGCCCCCCCCCAUCCAUUUGGACCUGCCAAACCCGCUCCGGAGUGGGAUUUGGAACACCAAGAGAGUUUACACCUUGUGGCUGCAGCAGCUACCUCAGCACCGGAGGGACUGAUAACAGCAACCACCCCCAGGAGAGACUUUCUGAAUUUGUCAUCUUUUUCAGAGCGGUGUCAUCUGGUAUUGUUCAUUUUGUGUGCAGGGGGGUGCUGUGCUUGUCAAAUAAACAGGUUCUUUCCACUUCUCUCCGAGGAAUUCUUCCCGAGCUGGUUGGGGGGAGGGGCCGUGUGGGUUUGAAGAAGCCCCUUUGGGGGAUUCUCUCCCAAAUUUGCCCUAAACCAGGACAGUGCUUUUGAUUUUUUUUUUGUCAUUUUGUGUCGAUUGAGUUGAUCCUUCAGAGAAGCUUUCUUAAUAAUAUAAAAAAACAGGGAAUUGUUAAGACCCUAGGGAGGCAUUCCCUGGUCUAGGGAAACACAAGAAGCCUCCCUCAAAAAGCUGUCAGACCCCAUUGGCUCCUUCCCCUGUUCCUAUGUCUGUUCCUAUGUCCCUGAGCCACUCCCUCCCGAUUCCCUGAUUGGCCCUUAUCUUUGUGCUGCCCUGAGACCAGGGUCAGCUCCCGAGAAUGUGGGGAGGGAAAGCUGGACCCUGAAUGUGUGUGUGUCUGGGACCUGAUCAUCUCACCACGCAGCUGAAUUAAACAUCCGUGGAUAUUAUGCCAAGGUCCAUUUUGCUUCCUUACCCUGGACUAUGCUAGCAGCAGUUCAGCCUGCUACACCCUGUGGUAUGGACUAGUGUGGACAGUUUACCUCCACGUGGCCUUGUGUCCUGGUUUUGCAAGGGAGACAUUUGCGGAAGUGAUGCAAAGCUUUAAGCCACUAGAAAGCUGUUCAUGCCUCUGUGAAAACCCCAUGUUGAAGACUAAAGAAACUCGGGAAAUUUUUCUAUUCCUUCUGGCCUGGGAACAGGAAAAAGUCCCGGCCUGGCUUCUGUCUCAGCUGGGCCAAAUCAGAAAGGCUCUGCCUCAGAUUCGGGCCACUUUCCAGAGAGCCCACUGGACUCCAUCCUGGCUUGGCCAGGCCCCAGCAGCUGCCAGGCAGGGAGCUGGGAAGCUGUGGGGGCUCUGACUGAGACAGGGCUGGGCCGUGGCUGUUAAGAUCUUUCCGCCAGGUCCCCUCCCCAGUGCAGCCACCUCAUGAGAUCAUGCGGCUGAGACCAGAGGAAGCCCUGCAGCCUAUGCAGAGUGGCCCUUUGGCUGGAAUGGAACAGAGAAAAAGACCAGCCAUGCAGCCAAUCCUGACACAGCCCCAGCUGCAGCUCCUGCCACAAGCUAUCAGCCAGGGUCUGGUGACCAUCUGCUGGCCCUGGGUGAGAUGUUAACUUUUUCAGUGCUUCAAUCCUCCCUUGAGUGAGGGAAAGGAACAAAAUGCAAGCAUGUAAAGGAGCAACAUGAAGACAUCAAGGUAAGUGAAGAAGAAGUUAAGUGGCAGAUGGAUGGGAUGAGGAGUUGCCUUGAUCUUGGGGCUGAAAUCCCCUUGUAAAGCUAUGGAGAAAAGACUCUGUUUCCUUGUAACACAUGAAAGCAUGAGGAGAUGAAGGGUUCAAUUUGAUAUUGAGCAAAGGCCACCAUGCCAAAGUAAGCAGAUGGUAAGGUAGCUGUGAUUCUAUGAGAAGUUUGAACAGAGAAGGAGAGAAGAGUAAUCCUAUGCCUCCAGGAGGAGAAAAUCUCAGUUCCUAGAGAUGAAGAUGAUUUUAGAGAUAGAUAAUUAGAACAUUUACCUUUGAACAGCUCAUCUUUAAAACAGUACCGCCUAAGUUAACAUGGCCCAUAAACACAGCUGUGGGAAAAGCUUGUGAAAAAUAGGAGAAACUAUGUCCAGCAGAGCCAAUCCCUGAAGGCUCUCAUGAUAGACUAAACUGACAAAAAUCUUCCUGUCUCUGCACACAGUCAGUGAGAAUGAAGGAGGGGC